GCACGGAGUUAGCCGAUCCUUAUUCUUACGGUACCGUCAAGCUCCUACACGUAGGAGUGUUUCUUCCUGUAUAAAAGCAGUUUACAAUCCAUAGGACCGUCUUCCUGCACGCGGCAUGGCUGGUUCAGUCUUGCGACCAUUGACCAAUAUUCCUCA
Molecule: ribosomal RNA, 156 nt
Filed under: uncultured bacterium
Lineage: Bacteria
Description: partial 16S ribosomal RNA
Source: RNAcentral